This is a long non-coding RNA of Panicum virgatum (switchgrass), 2548 nucleotides long. RefSeq lists it as uncharacterized. The record is from RefSeq and is a predicted model, not a curated record. Lineage: Eukaryota; Viridiplantae; Streptophyta; Magnoliopsida; Poales; Poaceae. The transcript has 5 exons.
UAAUGCCCACCCACGCCUCCCCCUCCGCCUGCCCCUUCCUUGGCAGAUCCGCCUAUGCCGCCCUCAAGGGCCCGUGCCCCACCACAUCUGCGCUGCCGCAAGCCCUCGCCCCCGCCGCCGACCGUCGUCGCGAUGACACCGCAGCUCCUCGCCUCCGUCGUCGAGGCUGUCGGCGGGGAGGACCGCAUCGCCGGCCUCCCCAAGGAGCUCCUCACACUCGUCUUCGGCAUGCUCGGCUCCAGCAACUGCAAGCACUGCUCCCUCGUCUGCUGCCGCUGGCUCGCCAUCAAGGCCGCCUCCCGCCUCCGCCUCGUGCUCGACGCCCGGGUGCCACUCCUUUGACGACGAAGCACUCCCCGCGCUCCUCCACUGGUGCGGCUCGCCGGCCUCCCCGCGCACUCCAGGUGUUCCCCCUUCUUCCCUUCACCCCCUCUCCCUCCCCUCUCCCCUCCUCAGAUCCAUCGCUUGCCGCUGCAUAGAUCCACCGCCUACUGCUGCUCAAAUCCACCCAUUGCUCCCCUCCCUAGCUAGCUCGAGGACCACCUCCGCAUCCUCCUCCCCCUCAUCCGGGUGCCUCGCCCCCACAGCUACUUCGAGCCCUAUGCCCCGUGGCAGGAGGUGGCGGGACAGCAGCCACACGAGCAGGCAUUGGGGUUGGUGUACGAUGUGGCGAGCGGGACGACGGCCGUGAUUUGUGAGCUCUGUUCCACUGCGCGUAGGCAAACCAGUGUAGGUGCGUGAUGUAUGGAGGCAGCUUCUCAAGCACCGUGGUGAAGGCCCACUCACUCCCCUUCGGCCACAGAUGCAGAACUUGCAGAUGGGCGAGGGGAGCUUCUUCGUGAGUGCCUUCCCUUUGUUCGUUCUGCAUACCAGUAGUUGUUAUCUCAUCUCCUCACAAUUUCAAUGCAAACUUUUCAUCUUACAGCAUGCUAGUAUUACCCUUUGGCUAGAAACGCAGAGCCUGUAGAUGUAUUGAUUUACUAUUUUAUUUCCUAAUCAAUAGGACAAAGGGUGUAUGUUGCUCGAUUGAUCGAGCUGUAGAUGGUAUUUGUAGAUGUUAUGCAUACUGCACGUGUGUUAGCUUUAAUGAUGAUAGUAUCUAGGUGUAGCUUAUAACUUAUUUCUGUUUUUCAUUUUCCUGUCAUGUUUGCCAUAGUUUGGUGGAGCUUUGUAUCCUUCAACAUUUUAUAAGCAGGAGUCAGGGAGGGUGAUAUGUUCAAGUGAUUAUGAGCACGAGCUUGAAUUUGCAUGGCAAUAAACUACUUCGGAGCCGCCGCCGGCUCCUGCUACUUCGGAGCCAAGGGAAUCGAGGGUGUUUUCCGCUCCUGCCUCCAUCUCGAGGACCAUCAAGCGCCUCUAUGGCCUCGCUAAAUCUGAGCCCAUCAAGGCUAUGGAUCCGGGGGCAGUCAUCAAAGCUGCACUGGGAAGCCGCAGCAGCGGCUUGGAACCAUCUCCCGACAGUAAGCACAAGCAGCUGUCCAGCUGCGAGCUGCAACCUGCAAGCAUAAGCAGAGCUAUUUGCAAUCGUAUUGUACAUAUACACAACAUUAAGGUUCUUCACUAACUGAUAUUUGUUUCUACUCACAGUUGUACUAUUUUGUGUUAGCAUUUUUUAGGAAACUUAUGCUAAAUCAACUAGCAUUUUGGUAAAAACUCAUAAGCAUUUUAAUUGGGUUAGUAAUGUCCUUUUACGAUCUCGUAUAGGCAUUUUAAUGUUGGUUCUCAAGAAUAUUCUACAGAGGCAAUAAUAUUAGUUCCGGUAGGCAAUAAUAUCAGUUUCCAUAAGCAAUAAUAUUGCUCUACCUAGGCAUAACAAUACAAUUUCACAAGAAUUGUGUCUGCGGGUGUUUUAUAAACCGUAGCUUUAAUUUUGAUGUUUCUAUUUGGUAGCUUGCUGAGCCUCCUUUACCGUCAACACUAGGGAACACAUAUAUGUGAUCCUCGUGAUGGCGGUCCACCACUGGGGGGAGAAUGCUUGUACAAUUGUACCCUUGAGGACAUAGCUGGGGAGGAAAAGAAGCGACUGCUCCCGAAAGGCACCGGGAAAAACAGUAGUGUGGUUUAGAAAAGCUCUAGCCGUUGAACCUGUCAAGUGCAAUCUGCGGCUCAGUGGGUGCUCAGCUUGUGGUCAUGAUGGAGGUGUGUACAGCUCCCCCAUGCGUAUGUUGAAGUCCUCCAAAAGUGUGUUCAUAAGUUGGUUGAUGUACUUUUCUUUUCUGCCUGCAAGUUUCUUCAGCAGAUCAACACUAUAACAUGCUCUACAUCUAUUUGGUGUUUGGUGAUCAGAAAGUUCAUUAGAUCAUCAUCAGCAGCAGUUUAGUUGCACCUCAACCUAGCUUGAUUUUAUUCAUGUGUAAUUUGAUAUUAGUUGUAGUACCUCCAAUCUUUUUGUUUGGUGGUAGUUUUAAUCAUCGGCUGUAAUCAGCAGUACAACAGUUGAGGCAAUCAUGAUUUGUAUGUGGUAGUAGUUUUGAAACUAUGUGAAUAUUUGGAAUUUAGAUGAGGUGAAACUUUGUAAAUGUUCUAAUUUGCUUUCAGAUUUUCAUAA